UCUCUCUAAAACCAAAGAGAAAGAGGAUUUCGGAAGCUGAGGGCGUCGCUUUCUGCUCCCCAGGCGCAUGAAGCGGCAUGUGUGCCGGCAGCGGUCGGAUCUCCCCAUCGGGUAGGGCGGAAUAAUUAAUGUGAUGAGUCGCGGUCUCUGCCAGCAUUGUGCACACCCCCAGAAAUCAACCUCCACCUGCAGCUUCUGCCUGUGACUCUGCUGGCACAGUGAUAACCACGGCCCCUAUGGAGAGCACUGGGGUCUCCAGAAACGCCUUCCCCACCUCACCUGCCCACCCGUCCUGCUCACCUGCCCUCCUGGCCGCGCUCCCUCGCCAGCCGCUUCGCCCUUUCCGCCUGGAUCUCUUCGCAGAUGGCCGCGUAGGGUUUGUCUGAAGGAUGCUCGCCCAUCACCCAGACCCAGACGUCGUUGUCGGCGCCCAGUUUCCACGUCACCGACUUCCCGCUGCCUGGGAAAGAAGCAGCUUCUGUGGCAAAUGCUCCGUACGGGGUCUGCGUCCCUCCCGCCGUCCCCUCCCGGCUGCUGCCGAUGACAGAGCCUCUCCAAAAGCAGCUGGACAUGGGGAAAGCUCGGCCAGGAUCCUGCUUCACCUCCCAUUUAGUAUCAUGGUACUGAAGCCAGGAGCGGCCGGCUGGGCCAGAGGCAGAGCAGACACUCACCUUUUCUCGGUGGUGGCUUCUCGGCUGGAGCUUUGUUGGCGGCCGCUUCUCUUUCCUCCCAGCGCCUGAUCUGCUCCUGCCUCAUCUUGAAGAACAGGAUCUGCUUCUGCUCCUCGCUGAGCUCCGCCAGCAGCUCGGGGUCGAUGUACAUCUCCGAUAGGAUCUGUUUCAGCAUGGCUGCGGGUCGCAGGUACCCACGUUGGCGGUGACGAUCUCCGGGGCUCAGAUCCGCUCUGACGAGAACAGGUCCCUCGGAGCCUGGGGCAGGAAUGCAGGCGUGCCAGGGUAAUUAUACGCCUUUUUUUUUAGCUCAGACUUCCUGCACAGACCAAAAAAAAAGUAAAUAAGUAUCUUAAAACUUGCUAUUCAGAUUCCUGGAAAUAAGAGGUGAGCUCCCACGCAGCCCCCGCGCGCUCGGCGGGGCCAGAAGGGCCGAGUGCCGGAGCAGGGAGGUUGUGCCGAUGCGCCGAUAAAGCCGGUGAUAGGAUAUCGGAAGAGAGCCGGUCGCAGUCAGCGGAGGCGCGGCUUGGCCCUGCCGAGCAAACAUUCCUGCUGGGCAGGGAAUCAAUGAACCCACCAGCUCCUCCUUCCUUCCAAAAAGGAGAACUUGGAUGUUCCAAAGCCCAACCUGCCUGGGAAAGGUGGGGAGGGCUUUUGGUUCUGCUUUUAGGGGGAGGGGAGGAGUAAGUUUGGGGUGUUCUCGUUCACUGUAGGUGGAAAGCCAAGGGAGGAAGAAAGCCGAGGUGGAUGAUGAGGAGCCUGAUGGGUCCUGCUGAUGUGUCUGCUCCGGGCGGCGAGCCUGGCGUGGGACAUCCUGGUGUGGGACAUCCUGGUGUGGGACAUCCUGGUGUGGGACCCCCCGGCGUGGGACAUCCUGGUGUGGGACAUCCUGGUGUGGGACCCCCCGGCGUGGGACACCCCAACCGGACGAGACGGAGGGGGUGGAGAGAAGGAGCAGCACCCCUGUUCCUGCCCAGGGUGCCGGGUCAUGUCCGGUGCACGUCAGCGAGGACCCAACACCCACACAGCUCCGGGGCUGGGUUUCCUUGUCACACUUGCUGCAAGAGGAAAAUUCUAACGCUCUGUCCCAAAGGCACCCAUGAAAGCACCAGCUCUGCCGGGAAAUCACAUGGAAGGGAAACUCCCAGUUUGGUCAUCACAGAAGGACAACACGACCGUAUAAGCUUGGCCCUCAGAAGACAGAACUCUUUGUAUUUUAUUUAGCAUAAAUAGAUGAAUUCUGGUGUAUGACACUUGAAAGAACAAAAUCAAUGCAGUCACUGCAGCAUCAACUGCCUUGAGAUGACUUACAGCAGAACUGACUUGCCUUGCAGGUCCCUGGUUUUGCUGGAGGUUAUUUUAAAAUCAUUUUGCAGAGGUUAUUUUAAAGCAGGUACAAAUGGGUGAGGAUGGUGAAAAGGAAAAAUAAUUAGACAAGGCAGUGCUGGCGAGACGCAUCCUCUCAAGAAGAAGGUUUAUUUCCUGCUACAAUUAAGUACAAACACCUCUACAAAGUGGGAAUCAUCUUCCUCUUUCAAAAUUACUUAGGGCAUUACCCAAGAGAAGGUCAGUGUGGGGGAAAGGGCUGCGGUUGACACACAGGAUCACGUAUAGAACCCUGCCUGCUACAAUAAAGUUUUUCUAAACCUAA
Columba livia (rock pigeon) is the source of this 2322-nucleotide long non-coding RNA. RefSeq lists it as uncharacterized. The transcript has 5 exons. NCBI's taxonomy places the organism in Eukaryota, Metazoa, Chordata, Aves, Columbiformes, Columbidae. The record is from RefSeq and is a predicted model, not a curated record.